RNAcentral lists this ribosomal RNA (497 nucleotides) under uncultured bacterium. Its description in RNAcentral is "partial 16S ribosomal RNA". It matches the Rfam family "Bacterial small subunit ribosomal RNA", at positions 28 to 507 of the family's 1533-position model. The record is from RNAcentral.
GAUGAACGCUGGCGGCGUGCCUAAUACAUGCAAGUCGAGCGAACAGACGAGGAGCUUGCUCCGCUGACGUUUGCGGCGGACGGGUGAGUCACACGUGGAUCCCCUACCUAUAAGACUGGGAUAACUUCGGGAAACCGGCGCUAAUACCGGAUAAUAUAUUGCACCGCGUGGUUCAUUAGUGAAUGACGGUUUUUCUGGCUCUUAUAGAUGGUUCUGCGCCGUAUUAGCUAGUUGGUACGGUAACGGCUUAUCAAGGCAACCAUGCGUAGCCGACCUGAUAGGGUGGUCGGCCACCUGGGAAGUGAGACACGGUCCAGGCUCCUACGGGAGGCAGCAGUAGGGAAUCUUCGGCAAUGGGCGAAAGCCUGACGGAGCAACGCCACGUGAGUGAUGAAGGUCUUCGGAUCGUAAAACUCUGUUAUUAGGGAAGAACAAAUGUGUAAGUAACUGUGCACGUCUUGACGGUACCUAAUCAGAAAGCCACGGCUAACUACGUG